GAUGAACGCUGGCGGCGUGCCUAAUACAUGCAAGUCGAGCGAACAGACGAGGAGCUUGCUCCUCUGACGUUAUCGGCGGACGGGUGAGUAACACGUGGAUAACCUACCUAUAAGACUGGGAUAACUUCGGGAAACCGUAGCUAAUACCGGAUAAUAUAUUGCACCGCAUUGUUCAAUAGUUAAAGACGGUUUUGCUGUCACUUAUAGAUUGAUCCGCGCCGCAUUAGCUAGUUGGUAAGGUAACGGCUUACCAAGGCAACGAUGUGUAGCCGACCUGAGAGGGUGAUCGGCCACACUGGAACUGAGACACGGUCCAGACUCCUACGGGAGGCAGCAGUAGGGAAUCUUCCGCAAAGGGCGAAAGCCUGACGGAGCAACGCCGCGUGAGUGAUGAAGGACUUCGGAUCGUAAAACUCUGUUAUUAGGGAAGAACAAAUGUGUAAGUAACUAUGCACGUCUUGACGGUACCUAAUCAGAAAGCCACGGCUAACUACGUG
Molecule: ribosomal RNA, 497 nt
Filed under: uncultured bacterium
Lineage: Bacteria
Description: partial 16S ribosomal RNA
Rfam family: Bacterial small subunit ribosomal RNA
Source: RNAcentral